Molecule: ribosomal RNA, 305 nt
Filed under: uncultured bacterium
Lineage: Bacteria
Description: bacterial SSU rRNA
Rfam family: Bacterial small subunit ribosomal RNA
Source: RNAcentral
GUGUCCUACGGGAGGCAGCAGUGAGGAAUAUUGGUCAAUGGGAGAGAUCCUGAACCAGCCAAGCCGCGUGAGGGAAGACGGCCCUAUGGGUUGUAAACCUCUUUUGUCGGAGAACAAAACCCGGGACGAGUCCCGGACUGCGUGUAUCCGAAGAAAAAGCAUCGGCUAACUCCGUGCCAGCAGCCGCGGUAAUACGGAGGAUGCGAGCGUUAUCCGGAUUUAUUGGGUUUAAAGGGUGCGUAGGCGGUCCGUUAAGUCAGCGGUAAAAUUGCGGGGCUGAACCACGUCGAGCCGUUGAAAAUGGG